This 2002-nucleotide ribosomal RNA is filed under the name Alteromonas stellipolaris LMG 21856. Its description in RNAcentral is "bacterial LSU rRNA". It matches the Rfam family "Bacterial large subunit ribosomal RNA", at positions 581 to 2579 of the family's 2925-position model. The record is from RNAcentral. Lineage: Bacteria; Pseudomonadati; Pseudomonadota; Gammaproteobacteria; Alteromonadales; Alteromonadaceae.
AGACUUGUUCUGUGACUGCGUACCUUUUGUAUAAUGGGUCAGCGACUUAUAUUUAGUAGCAAGGUUAAGCGAAUAGCGGAGCCGUAGCGAAAGCGAGUGUUAACUGCGCGUUUAGUUGCUAGGUAUAGACCCGAAACCCGGUGAUCUAGCCAUGGGCAGGUUGAAGGUUGAGUAACAUCAACUGGAGGACCGAACCCACUAACGUUGAAAAGUUAGGGGAUGACUUGUGGCUGGGGGUGAAAGGCCAAUCAAACCGGGAGAUAGCUGGUUCUCCCCGAAAUCUAUUUAGGUAGAGCCUCGGACGAAUUCCAUUGGGGGUAGAGCACUGUUAAGGCUAGGGGGUCAUCCCGACUUUCCAACCCUUUGCAAACUCCGAAUACCAAUGAGAACUAUCCGGGAGACACACGGCGGGUGCUAACGUCCGUCGUGAAGAGGGAAACAACCCAGACCGCCAGCUAAGGUCCCAAAAUAUUGCUAAGUGGGAAACGAUGUGGGAAGGCAUAGACAGCUAGGAGGUUGGCUUAGAAGCAGCCACCCUUUAAAGAAAGCGUAAUAGCUCACUAGUCGAGUCGGCCUGCGCGGAAGAUGUAACGGGGCUAAGCAAUAUACCGAAGCUGCGGAUACGUGUUUACACGUAUGGUAGGGGAGCGUUGUGUAAGUGGAUGAAGGUGGAUUGAGAAGUCUGCUGGACAUAUCACAAGUGCGAAUGCUGACAUGAGUAACGAUAAUGGGAGUGAAAAACUCCCACGCCGGAAGACCAAGGUUUCCUGUCCCAUGCUAAUCAGGGCAGGGUAAGUCGGCCCCUAAGGCGAGGCAGAAAUGCGUAGUCGAUGGGAAACGGAUUAAUAUUUCCGUACUUAUAUAAUCAGUGAUGGAGGGACGGAGAAGGCUAAGCAAGCUUGGCGUUGGUUGUCCAAGUGAAAGCAAGUAGGCCGAGUGUUUAGGUAAAUCCGGACGCUUAAAGCUGAGAUGCGAGACGAGCUACUACGGUAGUGAAGUUGUUGAUGCCCUGCUUCCAGGAAAAGCUUCUAAACUUAUGAUUAUAUAAACCGUACCCCAAACCGACACAGGUGGUCAGGUAGAGAAUACUAAGGCGCUUGAGAGAACUCGGGUGAAGGAACUCGGCAAAAUUGUACCGUAACUUCGGGAGAAGGUACGCCCUUGUUUGUGAUAGGACUUGCUCCUUGAGCAGAUGAGGGCCGCAGUGACCAGGUGGCUGGGACUGUUUAUUAAAAACACAGCACUCUGCUAACUCGCAAGAGGACGUAUAGGGUGUGACACCUGCCCGGUGCCGGAAGGUUAAUUGAUGGGGUUAUCUUCGGAGAAGCUCUUGAUCGAAGCCCCGGUAAACGGCGGGCGUAACUAUAACGGUCCUAAGGUAGCGAAAUUCCUUGUCGGGUAAGUUCCGACCUGCACGAAUGGUGUAACCAUGGCCACGCUGUCUCCACCCGAGACUCAGUGAAAUUGAAAUCGCAGUGAAGAUGCUGUGUACCCGCACCUAGACGGAAAGACCCCGUGAACCUUUACUACAGCUUGGCACUGAACAUUGAACCUACAUGUGUAGGAUAGGUGGGAGGCUUCGAAGCACAGUCGCUAGAUUGUGUGGAGCCGUCCUUGAAAUACCACCCUUGUAUGUUUGAUGUUCUAACAUUGGUCCCUUAUCGGGAUUAUGGACAGUGUCUGGUGGGUAGUUUGACUGGGGCGGUCUCCUCCCAAAUAGUAACGGAGGAGCACGAAGGUUAGCUAAUCACGGUCGGACAUCGUGAGGUUAGUGCAAUGGCAUAAGCUAGCUUAACUGCGAGACAGACACGUCGAGCAGGUACGAAAGUAGGUCAUAGUGAUCCGGUGGUUCUGUAUGGAAGGGCCAUCGCUCAACGGAUAAAAGGUACUCCGGGGAUAACAGGCUGAUACCGCCCAAGAGUUCAUAUCGACGGCGGUGUUUGGCACCUCGAUGUCGGCUCAUCACAUCCUGGGGCUGAAGUCGGUCCCAAGGGUAUGGCUG